AUUGAACGCUGGCGGCAGGCCUAACACAUGCAAGUCGAACGGUAACAGGAAGAAGCUUGCUGCUUUGCUGUCGCGUGGCGGACGGGUGUGACAUGUCUGGGACACUGCUUGAUGGCGGGGGAUAACUACUGGAAACGGUAGCUAAUACCGCAUAUCGACGCAAGACCAAAGAGGGGGAGUGUCGGGCCUCUUGCCAUCGGCUGUGCCCAGACGGGAUUAGCUAGUAGGUGGGGUAACGGCUUACCUAGGCGACGAUCCCUAGCUGGUCUGAGAGGAUGAACAGCCACACUGGAACUGAGACACGGUCCAGACUCCUACGGGAGGCAGCAGUAGGGAAUAUUGCGCAAUGGGCGAAAGCCUGAUGGAGCCACGCCGCGUGUAUGAAGAAGGUCUUCGGGUUGUAAAAUACUUUCAGCGGGGAGGAAGGGAGUAAUGUGAAUACCUGUGCGCAUUGACGGUACCCGCAGAAGAAGCAACGGCUAACUACGUG
RNAcentral lists this ribosomal RNA (490 nucleotides) under uncultured bacterium. RNAcentral describes it as "partial 16S ribosomal RNA". It matches the Rfam family "Bacterial small subunit ribosomal RNA", at positions 30 to 507 of the family's 1533-position model. The record is from RNAcentral.